AACCCUUAGAGUCCGUCUAUGGAGCUUGAGGCAGCCGGGGUCAUCCUGGCGCGUACCUGCCUCUUACCGUCGUUGGUUGCAUGCAAACUGAUCCGUGAGAGCCAUCAGAGGAAUGGACUGAGCAAGGCGGGCGUGCAAAUGACUGAAAACUUGUGGGACUGCAAGACUCAGACUGCUCUGUACUGAAGCAGUAGCGAGGCAUGAAUACAGGAACAGAAUGCUCACUCUCCCUUGGACACAGGCAAAAUGUGCUGCUGCUUUUACUUCACCAACACCUUUGAGAAGUGCUCCCACCUGUGAUGUAACUAUCUUCAAGCCCUCGGCAGAGCCCAUGCACCAGGAUGAACUGAAACUGCUGGGGAGAAGCAUGUCUUUCGGCUGUGAUGGAAGGCCAUGAAACACAGGACCAAAGCCCAAUUAACCUUCCUAAUUAUUUUGCCAUCUUUAUGCAGUCCUCUAGGUAGCUGCUUGUUUGCCACAGAUAUUUGUGCAUAACUCACAGGAAUGGGAUCAUAUGAUGGAUCACACACCGUUAGGUUUUUAUUGUAAUGGUGUUUUAAAUAUAUGUGGUCUGGAUUCUGCCCUCCAAGCUGCCCAGGGGAAUGGAAAUCUAUGGGGAGAAGAUGGAAUUUCAGAAAGAUUAGCUUGAAUUUUACUUUGCUUCUUCUCUCCCAACAGAACAUAACAAAAAUUUUAACAUUUGAAUUUGCCAUUUUCUGUGGUAUGGAAAUUUCUGUGGGUAACUAUAUUGGUGUAUCUUCUGUUUACAUUUUAUAGUUCUGUCCCCCCCAAGGAUGAAAAGGUAUGUUACAUAAUCCACCUAAAUUUUGCUUUCAUCAUAAAUGUCAGAGACAAUAAUGAAAAAUAAUGUCCUGACAACCAUUACUAAAUAGUGGGAAAGGUAUUUUGGGGGCACAUCUUUUUCCUUAGAUAAAGUACUGCUAUGAAAGACACAAACACUGUAACUUUGAGUUAGCCUUUAUCACAAUUGUACUAUCUGGACUUGGCUGACCUAAUGAAAUGUUGCCGUGACAUAUUCCUGUGUACUUUUGAAUGCAUUUAAUUAGAGCUCAGUAGUGCCCCUUAUACAACAUGGGGAGCCUAACUAGCUCUGGCUUUAAAAUACUUAUAUGGAGAAAAAACACAUUUACGUAAAAGCCUGUGAUCAGAUUUAUUGUGAAAGAAAAGCCUCUUUCUUUAAAUCAUUAAAUAUGGACAGAACCUGCACAUGACCUGACAGUGAAUGAAGUUACUUAUCUCUGAUUAUAUGCCAGAUAUAGAUUGCUGUAAAAGUUAAGGUCAAAGUCUGAAA
Long non-coding RNA from Neopelma chrysocephalum (saffron-crested tyrant-manakin), 1312 nucleotides. RefSeq lists it as uncharacterized. NCBI's taxonomy places the organism in Eukaryota, Metazoa, Chordata, Aves, Passeriformes, Pipridae. The record is from RefSeq and is a predicted model, not a curated record. The transcript has 4 exons.